UAUCUAUAUUGGUAGCUAGGAAGAGAAUUACAGCCAUCGCAACAGACAAUAGCCAGGGGAGGGAGUGUAAGGUAUAUCGGUGUGGAGAAGAUGUCCAGAUGAGAAUCACAACCAGACAAUAACCUUACCACUUUGGUGACAAACCAUUUGAUGAAUUAACUACAUAAUUGAACACUUCAAUCAAGUGAAUCAUAAAGGUCCUUCCUACUGUCAAUAUCUUAAAUUCUGCUAUAAUAUUUGAUCCCCGGAGACUAGAAGGCCAU
This 263-nucleotide long non-coding RNA is filed under the name Coffea arabica (coffee). RNAcentral describes it as "long non-coding RNA (CARA_LNC003687)". The record is from RNAcentral. Lineage: Eukaryota; Viridiplantae; Streptophyta; Magnoliopsida; Gentianales; Rubiaceae.